GACGAACGCUGGCGGCGUGCCUAAUACAUGCAAGUCGAACGAGAGCGACCGGUGCUUGCACUGGUCAAUCUAGUGGCGAACGGGUGAGUAACACGUGGGUAACCUGCCCAUCAGAGGGGGAUAACAUUCGGAAACGGAUGCUAAAACCGCAUAGGUUCUUGAGUCGCAUGACUCAAGAAGGAAAAGAGGCUUCGGCUUCUGCUGAUGGAUGGACCCGCGGUGCAUUAGCUAGUUGGUGAGGUAACGGCUCACCAAGGCCGUGAUGCAUAGCCGACCUGAGAGGGUGAUCGGCCACAUUGGGACUGAGACGCGGCCCAAACUCCUACGGGAGGCAGCAGUAGGGAAUCUUCCGCAAUGGACGCAAGUCUGACGGAGCAACGCCGCGUGAGUGAAGAAGGAUUUCGGUUCGUAAAACUCUGUUGUUAGAGAAGAACAGCGCAUAGAGUAACUGUUAUGCGUGUGACGGUAUCUAACCAGAAAGCCACGGCUAACUACGUGCCAGCAGCCGCGGUAAUACGUAGGUGGCAAGCGUUGUCCGGAUUUAUUGGGCGUAAAGCGAGCGCAGGCGGUCAAUUAAGUCUGAUGUGAAAGCCCCCGGCUCAACCGGGGAGGGUCAUUGGAAACUGGUUGACUUGAGUGCAGAAGAGGAGAGUGGAAUUCCAUGUGUAGCGGUGAAAUGCGUAGAUAUAUGGAGGAACACCAGUGGCGAAGGCGACUCUCUGGUCUGUAACUGACGCUGAGGCUCGAAAGCGUGGGUAGCAAACAGG
RNAcentral lists this ribosomal RNA (767 nucleotides) under uncultured Granulicatella sp. RNAcentral describes it as "bacterial SSU rRNA". It matches the Rfam family "Bacterial small subunit ribosomal RNA", at positions 28 to 776 of the family's 1533-position model. The record is from RNAcentral. Lineage: Bacteria; Bacillati; Bacillota; Bacilli; Lactobacillales; Carnobacteriaceae.